AGAAUCAACGCUGGCGGCGUGCCUCAGACAUGCAAGUCGAACGAUUAAGACUUCCUUCGGGAAGUGUAUAAAGUGGCGCACGGGUGAGUAACACGUAAGUAAUCUACCUUCGAGUGGGGAAUAACGUCCGGAAACGGACGCUAAUACCGCAUAAUGCAGCGGCAUCGUAAGAUGACAGUUGUUAAAGAUUUAUCGCUUGAAGAGGAGCUUGCGGCAGAUUAGCUAGUUGGUAAGGUAAUGGCUUACCAAGGCUACGAUCUGUAACCGGUCUAAGAGGACGGUCGGUCACACUGACACUGAAUAACGGGUCAGACUCCUACGGGAGGCAGCAGUCGGGAAUUUUGGGCAAUGGGCGAAAGCCUGACCCAGCAACGCCGCGUGAAGGAUGAAGUAUUUCGGUAUGUAAACUUCGAAAGAAUGGGAAGAAUAAAUGACGGCACCAUUUAUAAGCUCCGGCUAACUACGUGCCAGCAGCCGC
This 478-nucleotide ribosomal RNA is filed under the name uncultured bacterium. RNAcentral describes it as "SSU rRNA". It matches the Rfam family "Bacterial small subunit ribosomal RNA", at positions 26 to 518 of the family's 1533-position model. The record is from RNAcentral.